RNAcentral lists this non-coding RNA (30 nucleotides) under Rattus norvegicus (Norway rat). The record is from RNAcentral. Lineage: Eukaryota; Metazoa; Chordata; Mammalia; Rodentia; Muridae.
UGAAACACUUCAAGGUGCUGAUAUUCUUGU